GCAGGAAAUGCUCCUGCAUCCCUGGGACAGCUGGGCAAUGUCUGCUGCUGUGGGUUUCUGCAGAGCUGGGAUAAAAUCACAGCUGGACUGAAAAAUUCACUGGCCCCUGACUUUCUUACGAAACUGCUCUUGGCCAAAGCAAGAAAUUGAGCUCCCAUCGGUUUUCAUAACACUCAGACAGUGCUGGGAAUGCAGAUUGAGUUCACAUUCCUCUCAUAAUUUUUGACUUUGAAUUCUGAAAUAUAGACUAUAUGUUCAAAGUUGGGGUUUUUCAGUUUUUCUCCAUGGUUUAAGACUGACAGGACAAUGAAUCUGGAGUUAAAGACACCUGGAGUUACCAGGCAGCCACUGCAGAAAUGGCACAAGCAAAUGUUUUCUAAGAAGAGAGAAACGAGUGAGUGGCAAAUAAAACUGGGAUGAUUCAGCCCUUGCAGAAGUGCAUAGAAGAGUUUAUUUAGAUUGUUAACCUGGAACAGGUGUGAGGCUUUCUAGGGCAGGAAAGCUGUUGGUGCCAGGCUGGAAUUGCUGUUGGGGUCAGAUGUGUGGCAGAGUCUGUGAUGGGUGCAAAGGCAAAUUUGGGCAUUCUGGGACAAACCCUCAGUGACAGGAGGAGUGUGCAAGCUGCAGGACAAAGUUUUAAAUCUAUUACAGGAAAGGGAAGGGGAAAGGGAAGGGGAAAGGGAAGGGGAAAGGGAAGGGGAAAGGGAAGGGGAAAGGGAAGGGGAAAGGGAAGGGGAAAGGGAAGGGGAAAGGGAAAGGGAAAGGAAAGGAAAGGAAAGGAAAGGAAAGGAAAGGAAAGGAAAGGAAAGGAAAGGAAAGGAAAGGAAAGGAAAAGGGGAAAGGAAGGGGAAAGGAAAGAAAGGGAAAGGAAAGGGAAAGGAAAGAAAGGGAAAGGAAAGGGAAAGGAAAGAAAGGGAAAGGAAAGGGAAAGGAAAGAAAGGGAAAGGAAAGGGGAAAGGAAAGAAAGGGAAAGGAAAGGGGAAAGGAAAGGGAAAGGAAAGGGAAGGAAAGGGAAGGGAAAAGGAAAGGAAAGGAAAGGGAAAAGGAAAGGAAAAAGGUUCCACAGCUCAUCAUUGUACUCUCACGUCUCACCACCUUUGAACCACUGUUGACACAAUUCUCAGGUGCAAACAUGUAACGUUGACUCCUAUUUAGGCAGUUAGUCAAAACUAGUGGGGGUGUGUUUGUCCAAGGGGCUGAAUGAAUGGAGGGUAAAUAUUUGGGUUGCUUGCCAGGCUGAUGCUGGGCAGCAGCUCGUGUUGGCACAGCUCGUGUUGGCACAGCUCUGAGUUGUGGCAGAGCAUUCUCAGCUAAACUGGCAGUGAAAGUUCACGGUGAGAACCAUUGGUACAGCUUUGGGUGGCUGCACAAAGAGCCUGUAGUGGUGUGCAGGGUGUCUGGAAGCACUGAGGUUGGUUUGGGGUGGUGCUGGAGGACAGGACUGGAUUUACAGGUUCCUUCCUGCUGCUGGUGGCCGAGCUCUGCUCAAACACGGGAUUGUCUCGGAGAUAAAGCUGAUACCAGCCAAACAACAGGGUGUUCCUGUGGUGUUCCUGAGGCAGAGAGCAGCUGGUAGAUAAGCCUUUAAUGGCAGCUGGCUGCUCAUGUUCUGCAGGAGAAUCCUUAGAAAACCUUGGGAAAAGUGUCCUUGGUGUCCCAGAGGAGCCAGAGCUCUGCUUGUGGCCACCAAAGGGAGAGCAAGCAUCCUGGCUUUUGGCAGGGCUCCAGUUGUUUACUGAGACAACUUUCCAAAGGCUUUGUUUGGCUCUCACUGAUUGGCUUCUUCUGUUUCAAGGGUUCUCUUCCAGUUUCCUUGUGUUUGGUUUUUGGAGAAGAAAAGAGCCUUCAGCUGGGAGAAAUUAAAAGUGUUUUUUUUCCCAAUCUUUGGUGCAGUUGGGAUCAGAGAAAAUCAGUUGAAGGGGAGAUCUGAACCACAUCGUUUCUUUGUCAUCUUUCCAGGUGGUAUUGUGGGCUUAGCUCCUCUUUUUGAAGGUGGCAAUAUGAGAAUUCAGAGUAGGCAGCACGAGGAUUCUUUAAAGCCUGGAAAUACAAAAGUGAUUGUGGGCAAACCAAAGCCUGUCCUGGGGGAGGGCUCACUCACCCACAUUUGAGCCUGCAGUUUAAAGGGAUGAGCUGAGAUACAGAUGUAGGAUUCCUUCUCAGUCCCAGGACUUGCAAACCUCAUUUUGUCCAGACAAGUCCAUUAACUGUGCCCCUUCCUUCCCCUGACCAAGGGGGAUAAAUGUCUUUACAGCCAGCCAUGAGUGCAGGUGCUCUCUGGUGAUUAGAUUAUCAUAAAAAGAAAUUGCUAUGUGUAUUUAUCCCAACAGAUGGGCAAUAAAUAAUUGUAUUUCCCACUUAUAUUAAAAAUC
Zonotrichia albicollis (white-throated sparrow) is the source of this 2372-nucleotide long non-coding RNA. Lineage: Eukaryota; Metazoa; Chordata; Aves; Passeriformes; Passerellidae. The record is from Ensembl.